UACGUAGGGGGCAAGCGUUGUCCGGAAUCAUUGGGCGUAAAGAGCGUGUAGGCGGCCUGGAAGGUCAGCUGUGAAAACUCGAGGCUCAACCUCGAGACGUCGGUUGAAACCACCUGGCUAGAGUCCGGAAGAGGAGAGUGGAAUUCCCGGUGUAGCGGUGAAAUGCGCAGAUAUCGGGAAGAACACCCGUGGCGAAGGCGGCUCUCUGGGACGGUACUGACGCUGAGACGCGAAAGCGUGGGGAGCGAACAGG
RNAcentral lists this ribosomal RNA (253 nucleotides) under uncultured bacterium. RNAcentral's name for it is "partial 16S ribosomal RNA". It matches the Rfam family "Bacterial small subunit ribosomal RNA", at positions 524 to 776 of the family's 1533-position model. The record is from RNAcentral.